UAAGGAAGACACAGCUUUGCUGCAGCUGUU
This 30-nucleotide non-coding RNA is filed under the name Homo sapiens (human). The record is from RNAcentral. Lineage: Eukaryota; Metazoa; Chordata; Mammalia; Primates; Hominidae.